Long non-coding RNA from Aedes aegypti (yellow fever mosquito), 844 nucleotides. RefSeq lists it as uncharacterized. The record is from RefSeq and is a predicted model, not a curated record. The transcript is spliced from 2 exons. Lineage: Eukaryota; Metazoa; Arthropoda; Insecta; Diptera; Culicidae.
AAGGGCUCAUAAAAACACUAAGCUGAGAAGCAGGCUCUUUCACAGUGGGACGUAAUGCCAAGAAAAAAGAAGAAGAUAAUAUAUUGAUGAGACAUAACUAGGGUGACCAUGUCCUGGAGAUUCAGGACAUUUGCAAUUUUCACAAUUUUCCUAUGCAAAUUCCAAAUUUUAUCACUUUUUCGAAGACACUAUUGUGUUUUGACUUUUGAUGUUGCUAGGUAUCGAACAAGUACUUUUUCAAGGUUAUUGUUUGUAGUCUAUCAUAAAACACAGUAGGAAUCCUCUUUGCGCUUAAAAUUACAUCAAGCAUCUCGUCUGAUCAUAACCAACAGGAAUCCUUUACGAAUCUACCGAGGGUCUCUAAAUAUCCGUGUAUCUUUCUAGCUUAUUAUGAGCGCUAAUGGCUGCCGCAAACAUGCUUCCUGUUUGGUACGGGUCAGUGAAUUUGACGUAAUUUACAUUAGCGCUCCUGGACUAAUCCAGGAAAUCAUGCAACAAUUUAUCCAUGUUUUAUUUUAAACUGCUUAGUUUCUGAUCGAGAUCUCGCUGUGAAAUUACUACGAAUGUCAAAAAAAAGCCUAAGAAUGUCAAAAGUAUAAAUUAUAAAAUCUUAAAAAAUAUUGCAUCAAAAAAUAAUCAAGUUCAUGCAAGGAAAUGCCACUUAUAUUCUUUGAAUUUUAGUUUCACAAAGAAUCUGCUAACAAUCUGUUAAGAAAUCUCAUAAAAAAGCUUAGUUUAGUUUCCAUUGAUAUCGCGAAGAUCUCGCUUAGAAAUUCUGAAAAGUGCUACAAAAAAAAAAAAAAAAAAUGAUCCGAGUUGUAAGAAAUUUGACUAAAAUCUUCAC